Molecule: transfer RNA, 97 nt
Filed under: Actinoplanes auranticolor
Lineage: Bacteria; Bacillati; Actinomycetota; Actinomycetes; Micromonosporales; Micromonosporaceae
Description: tRNA-Ala
Source: RNAcentral
GGCCGCGGGGGGUUGCCCGGCGGCCUCGACGCGGAUCGCGUCCGCGCCGGCGGGCGGGGGAGUCAGCUCCUCGCCGGGCCGCAUCCGGUCGCCGGCU